RNAcentral lists this ribosomal RNA (253 nucleotides) under uncultured bacterium. RNAcentral describes it as "partial 16S ribosomal RNA". It matches the Rfam family "Bacterial small subunit ribosomal RNA", at positions 524 to 776 of the family's 1533-position model. The record is from RNAcentral.
GACGUAGGGCGCGAGCGUUGUCCGGAUUUAUUGGGCGUAAAGAGCUCGUAGGCGGCUUGUUGCGUCGGCUGUGAAAACCCAUGGCUCAACCGUGGGCUUGCAGCCGAUACGGGCAGGCUAGAGUUCGGUAGGGGAGACUGAAAUUCCUGGUGUAGCGGUGAAAUGCGCAGAUAUCAGGAGGAACACCGGUGGCGAAGGCGGGUCUCUGGGCCGAUACUGACGCUGAGGAGCGAAAGCGUGGGGAGCGAACAGG